AUUUUUGCCAACUUUAUACUU
Non-coding RNA from Caenorhabditis elegans, 21 nucleotides. The record is from Ensembl. NCBI's taxonomy places the organism in Eukaryota, Metazoa, Nematoda, Chromadorea, Rhabditida, Rhabditidae.